CCCGGCACUACCGUGCCGGGCUUUCUCAUGUCGCCGCUGCGCGACU
RNAcentral lists this small RNA (46 nucleotides) under Candidatus Sulfotelmatobacter kueseliae. Its description in RNAcentral is "Acido-Lenti-1". It matches the Rfam family "Acido-Lenti-1 RNA". The record is from RNAcentral. Lineage: Bacteria; Pseudomonadati; Acidobacteriota; Terriglobia; Terriglobales; Candidatus Korobacteraceae.